UGGACACACAGGACAAGAGUCACAGUUGGUGUAAAUGGUCAUAGCUCUAUAGACUUCAUGUGCCCUUGCUGGGGAUCUGGCCCACGGACUUCACGAUGCUCAACUAGGAUAGACUUUGGGAAGUUCAGAAGAACACACCUACUUCUGGAAAUAUGCCAUGGUGAAAUUGAUUCAACCUAUACCUGGGAAAUAAUAUUGACUUCAAAUAAGGGUUACUGGCCUAGUGGAUGAGGAGGAGGGAAUCAGUAAACGUGAUAUACCUUGAUUAUUUUUAAGG
Long non-coding RNA from Mauremys reevesii (Reeves's turtle), 277 nucleotides. RefSeq lists it as uncharacterized. The transcript has 3 exons. The record is from RefSeq and is a predicted model, not a curated record. NCBI's taxonomy places the organism in Eukaryota, Metazoa, Chordata, Testudines, Geoemydidae.